RNAcentral lists this ribosomal RNA (659 nucleotides) under uncultured fungus. RNAcentral's name for it is "eukaryotic LSU rRNA". The stretch from base 135 to 288 matches the Rfam family "5.8S ribosomal RNA". The record is from RNAcentral. Lineage: Eukaryota; Fungi.
UUUUUAAAAUAGUACUCACCUUGUGUGCAAUGUUGUGUUGGAGACUUCUCUCGGGAGGUCUUCACACCUACACCAACCUUUUAUUUUAAACAACUUUGUCUGAAAACCUAUUAUGAAUACUUAAUUCAAAAUACAACUUUCAACAACGGAUCUCUUGGCUCUCGCAUCGAGGAAGAACGCAGCGAAAUGCGAUACGUAAUGUGAAUUGCAGAAUUCAGUGAAUCAUCGAAUCUUUGAACGCACAUUGCACUCUCUGGUAUUCCGGAGAGUAUGCUUGUUUGAGUAUCAGUAAACACCUCAAAUCUCUUUUUUAUUAAAGAGAAUUGGACUUGAGCAAUCCCAACUCUGUAAAAAGAGGCGGGUUGCUUGAAAUGCAGGUGCAGCUGGACAUUCUUCUGAGCUAAAAGCAUAUUUAUUUAGUCCCGUUAAACGGAUUAUUACUUUUGCUCUAGCUAAUAUAAAGGUCGAAUGGACUAUACGCUGACUGAUGCAGGAUUACCAAGUCUCUGUCAAAAGGAGACUUGUAAACUCGAUCUCAAAUCAAGUAAGACUACCCGCUGAACUUAAGCAUAUCAAUAAGCGGAGGAAAAGAAACUAACAAGGAUUCCCCUAGUAACGGCGAGUGAAGCGGGAUGAGCUCAAAUUUGAAAUCUGGCUGG